Molecule: ribosomal RNA, 497 nt
Filed under: uncultured bacterium
Lineage: Bacteria
Description: partial 16S ribosomal RNA
Rfam family: Bacterial small subunit ribosomal RNA
Source: RNAcentral
GACGAACGCUGGCGGCGUGCCUAAUACAUGCAAGUUGAGCGCUGAAGGUUGGUACUUGUACCAACUGGAUGAGCAGCGAACGGGUGAGUAACGCGUGGGGAAUCUGCCUUUGAGCGGGGGACAACAUUUGGAAACGAAUGCUAAUACCGCAUAAAAACUUUAAACACAAGUUUUAAGUUUGAAAGAUGCAAUUGCAUCACUCAAAGAUGAUCCCGCGUUGUAUUAGCUAGUUGGUGAGGUAAAGGCCCACCAAGGCGAUGAUACAUAGCCGACCUGAGAGGGUGGUCGGCCAAAUUGGGACUGAGAAACGGCCCAAACUCCUACGGGAGGCAGCAGGAGGGAAUCUUCGGCAAUGGACGAAAGUCUGACCGAGCAACGCCGCGUGAGUGAAGAAGGUUUUCGGAUCGUAAAACUCUGUUGGUAGAGAAGAACGUUGGUGAGAGUGGAAAGCUCAUCAAGUGACGGUAACUACCCAGAAAGGGACGGCUAACUACGUG